UACGAACCGGACGAACGUUAUUCGGAAUCACUGGGCUUAAAGGGUGCGUAGGCGGCCUGGCAGGUGGGGUGUGAAAUCCCUCGGCUCAACCGAGGAACUGCGCUCCAAACCGUCAGGCUUGAGGGAGACAGGGGUGAGCGGAACUAGCGGUGGAGCGGUGAAAUGCGUUGAUAUCGCUGGGAACACCAGUGGCGAAGGCGGCUCACUGGGUCUCUUCUGACGCUGAGGCACGAAAGCUAGGGGAGCGAACGGG
This 253-nucleotide unclassified non-coding RNA is filed under the name uncultured Pirellulaceae bacterium. Its description in RNAcentral is "contains 16S-23S intergenic spacer region". It matches the Rfam family "Bacterial small subunit ribosomal RNA", at positions 524 to 776 of the family's 1533-position model. Lineage: Bacteria; Pseudomonadati; Planctomycetota; Planctomycetia; Pirellulales; Pirellulaceae. The record is from RNAcentral.